AACGAACGCUGGCGGCAGGCUUAACACAUGCAAGUCGAACGGGUGUAGCAAUACAUCAGUGGCAGACGGGUGAGUAACACGUGGGAACCUUCCUAGAGGUACGGAACAACUCAGGGAAACUUGAGCUAAUACCGUAUACGCUCUUGCGAGGAAAGAUUUAUCGCCUUUAGACGGGCCCGCGUCGGAUUAGCUAGUUGGUGGGGUAACGGCCUACCAAGGCGACGAUCCGUAGCUGAUCUGAGAGGAUGAUCAGCCACACUGGGACUGAGACACGGCCCAGACUCCUACGGGAGGCAGCAGUGGGGAAUCUUGGACAAUGGGCGCAAGCCUGAUCCAGCCAUGCCGCGUGAGUGAAGAAGGCCU
RNAcentral lists this ribosomal RNA (363 nucleotides) under uncultured bacterium. RNAcentral's name for it is "bacterial SSU rRNA". It matches the Rfam family "Bacterial small subunit ribosomal RNA", at positions 29 to 417 of the family's 1533-position model. The record is from RNAcentral.